Molecule: ribosomal RNA, 722 nt
Filed under: uncultured Enterobacterales bacterium
Lineage: Bacteria; Pseudomonadati; Pseudomonadota; Gammaproteobacteria; Enterobacterales
Description: bacterial SSU rRNA
Rfam family: Bacterial small subunit ribosomal RNA
Source: RNAcentral
GGCUUAACACAUGCAAGUCGAGCGGUAGCACAGGGGACUUGCUCCCCGGGUGACGAGCGGCGGACGGGUGAGUAAUGUCUGGGAAACUGCCUGAUGGAGGGGGAUAACUACUGGAAACGGUAGCUAAUACCGCAUAACGUCGCAAGACCAAAGAGGGGGACCUUCGGGCCUCUUGCCAUCAGAUGUGCCCAGAUGGGAUUAGCUAGUAGGUGGGGUAAUGGCUCACCUAGGCGACGAUCCCUAGCUGGUCUGAGAGGAUGACCAGCCACACUGGAACUGAGACACGGUCCAGACUCCUACGGGAGGCAGCAGUGAGGAAUAUUGCACAAUGGGCGCAAGCCUGAUGCAGCCAUGCCGCGUGUAUGAAGAAGGCCUUCGGGUUGUAAAGUACUUUCAGCGAGGAGGAAGGUGGUGAGCUUAAUACGCUCAUCAAUUGACGUUACUCGCAGAAGAAGCACCGGCUAACUCCGUGCCAGCAGCCGCGGUAAUACGGAGGGUGCAAGCGUUAAUCGGAAUUACUGGGCGUAAAGCGCACGCAGGCGGUCUGUCAAGUCGGAUGUGAAAUCCCCGGGCUCAACCUGGGAACUGCAUUCGAAACUGGCAGGCUAGAGUCUUGUAGAGGGGGGUAGAAUUCCUAGGUGUAGCGCGUGAAAUGCGUAGAGAUCUGGAGGAAUACCGGUGGCGAAGGCGGCCCCCUGGACAAAGACUGACGCUCAGGUGCG